Molecule: ribosomal RNA, 253 nt
Filed under: uncultured bacterium
Lineage: Bacteria
Description: partial 16S ribosomal RNA
Rfam family: Bacterial small subunit ribosomal RNA
Source: RNAcentral
UACGAAGGAGGCUAGCGUUGCUCGGAAUCACUGGGCGUAAAGCGCACGUAGGCGGGUUGUUAAGUCGGGGGUGAAAUCCUGGAGCUCAACUCCAGAACUGCCUUCGAUACUGGCGACCUUGAGUCCGGGAGAGGUGAGUGGAACUCCGAGUGUAGAGGUGAAAUUCGUAGAUAUUCGGAAGAACACCAGUGGCGAAGGCGGCUCCCUGGCCCGGUACUGACGCUGAGGUGCGAAAGCGUGGGGAGCAAACAGG